This 73-nucleotide transfer RNA is filed under the name Camelus bactrianus (Bactrian camel). It matches the Rfam family "tRNA". From Rfam's summary of the family: Transfer RNA (tRNA) molecules are approximately 80 nucleotides in length. Their secondary structure includes four short double-helical elements and three loops (D, anti-codon, and T loops). Lineage: Eukaryota; Metazoa; Chordata; Mammalia; Artiodactyla; Camelidae. The record is from Rfam by way of RNAcentral. RNAcentral also lists the same sequence under 2 other names.
GAGGGUAUGGCUCAAGUGGUAGAGCGCAUGCUUAGCAUGCACAAGGUCCUGGGUUCAAUCCCUAGUACCUCCU